RNAcentral lists this ribosomal RNA (453 nucleotides) under uncultured Pseudomonas sp. Its description in RNAcentral is "bacterial SSU rRNA". It matches the Rfam family "Bacterial small subunit ribosomal RNA", at positions 927 to 1382 of the family's 1533-position model. Lineage: Bacteria; Pseudomonadati; Pseudomonadota; Gammaproteobacteria; Pseudomonadales; Pseudomonadaceae. The record is from RNAcentral.
AAGCGGAGGAGCAUGUGGUUAAUUCGAUGAUACGCGAGGAACCUUACCUGGCUCGAACGUAAGAUGACUGUAGGUGAAAGCUUACAUCUCUUCGGAGCAUUUUACGAGGUGCUGCAUGGUUGUCGUCAGCUCGUGCCGUGAGGUGUCGGGUUAAGUCCCGUAACGAGCGCAACCCUUGUCCUUAGUUACCAGCACGUUAUGGUGGGCACUCUAAGGAGACUGCCGGUGACAAACCGGAGGAAGGUGGGGAUGACGUCAAGUCAUCAUGGCCCUUACGGCCUGGGCUACACACGUGCUACAAUGGUCGGUACAAAGGGUUGCCAAGCCGCGAGGUGGAGCUAAUCCCAUAAAACCGAUCGUAGCCCGGAUCGCAGUCUGCAACUCGACUGCGUGAAGUCGGAAUCGCUAGUAAUCGUGAAUCAGAAUGUCACGGUGAAUACGUUCCCGGGCCUU